UCAAAAAGACACAUACUUGGAGAGGGUAAUAAAAUUGGGAAAAGUAAAAUUAACAAAGCAAAUUGUGUACGGCCUAAGAAGGAAAGUUCCUUUAAAGUUCAUCCUUGCUGGAAGUGACUGGGCCUCAGCAAUGAUUUAGCUGAGUUCCAACUGAUGAGUUUGAAUUGCUGGGCCAGGUUUUAUGAAGGAAGCCGGGAUAGCAUCUGUUCACUUUGAAAAGAAUUCUGGUAAUUCAGCAGUGUCAUAAAUUUUCAAACUUAUAUUUUGAUUAACACAUUUUAUUGGCACCCAUAUUCUUUUCCUUAUUGCUAAUAAUACUGUGAAUGUGUGUCUUUCUUCAGCUGUGGUGCUCCCAUUCAAGUUUCCGAGGUGAAGCUGCUUUCCUUUUCAUCAGGGCAGCGAACCGUGUUCCUCCCAGCUGAGGUGAAGGCCAUAGGGACGGAGCAUGAUCACGUCCUCCCUCUGCAGGAAUUGGCCAUGAGAAGUCUGUAUCGUACCUACCACAGCUUGCUGAAAGAUUUGAACUUUCUGUCUCC
Molecule: small RNA, 536 nt
Filed under: Pongo abelii (Sumatran orangutan)
Lineage: Eukaryota; Metazoa; Chordata; Mammalia; Primates; Hominidae
Description: retained intron
Source: RNAcentral